Molecule: long non-coding RNA, 638 nt
Filed under: Equus asinus (donkey)
Lineage: Eukaryota; Metazoa; Chordata; Mammalia; Perissodactyla; Equidae
Description: lncRNA (ENSEASG00005034061.1)
Source: RNAcentral
GGAAGGAUUUGGCUUGGCUUCUUGGAGGAGGUGGAUUAUGAGCCAGACUUCAAAGAAUGGGAAGGAUUUGGUCCAGGGAAAAACCGGGAGAAGAGGUCAUUGCGGAAACAAAGGCCGACAUGCUGCACAGGCCAGGCCCACUGCAACCCGACCCAUGAGACCCAUGCUUUUCCCAGGCUACCUCCCUGCCCCUGGAGUUACAGGUUUGGAAUAUUCUGCAUGGACAGGAUGUCAGGAGCAAUGGAGCACCAGUGUUAGGAGAACCUACCUCCCCUGGCUCCAUCAAAGCCACAGACCCAUGAGAACCAUCCAGCCUAGCCUGAGCCACACGCCCGGAGGCCACAGCCUGUGUGCAGGAAAGUGAGAGGAAGUGGAAACGUGUGAGCAGAGGGCUCAAAGCAACGGGCUCACCACCGGAAAAAAAAAUAAAAAUAAACACGCUCAGAAAUAGUGUAACUGAUAUGCAAAGAAGAUCAAAACAAGGGUUUUAAAAUAUCUUGGCUGCUUUAGAGGGGGUAGGGAUGGUAAAUGAAGCGAGGUUGCAAAUGUAUGUUAGGGGAGGGGGGCGGUUAAGGAUGAUUGACAGCAGCCUGCCAGGCCAUGGAAGCCUGGAACCCAAGGGUACUUCAGACAAAAAU